This 514-nucleotide ribosomal RNA is filed under the name Sylvisorex johnstoni (Johnston's Forest Shrew). RNAcentral describes it as "partial 16S ribosomal RNA". It matches the Rfam family "Bacterial large subunit ribosomal RNA", at positions 1816 to 2568 of the family's 2925-position model. Lineage: Eukaryota; Metazoa; Chordata; Mammalia; Eulipotyphla; Soricidae. The record is from RNAcentral.
CACUUCUAGCAUUAAUAGUAUUAGAAGCACUGCCUGCCCAGUGACAUUAGUUAAACGGCCGCGGUAUCCUGACCGUGCAAAGGUAGCAUAAUCAUUUGUUCCUUAAUUAGGGACUUGUAUGAAUGGCUUGACGANNNUUNNACUGUCUCUUACUUUUAAUNANUGAAAUUGACCUUCCCGUGAAGAGGCGGGAAUAAAUUAAUAAGACGAGAAGACCCUAUGGAGCUUAAAUUAAAUUAUUCAAUUUAUAUAAAUUUUUACCUACGGGGCCAAUUCCACAAAAUCUGAAUAAUAAAUUUUGGUUGGGGUGACCUCGGAGUACAAAACAACCUCCGAGAUAUACAGCUAAGACUUACCCGUCAAAGCAUCUUUUAUUAUUGAUCCAAUUAAAUUGAUCAACGGAUCAAGUUACCCUAGGGAUAACAGCGCAAUCCUAUUUAAGAGUUCAUAUCGACAAUAGGGUUUACGACCUCGAUGUUGGAUCAGGACACCCAAAUGGUNCAGCAGCUAUUAA